AACGAACGCUGGCGGCAUGCCUAACACAUGCAAGUCGAACGACACCUUCGGGUCUAGUGGCGCACGGGUGCGUAACGCGUGGGAACCUGCCCUUAGGUUCGGAAUAACUCCCCGAAAGGGGUGCUAAUACCGGAUAAUGUCUUCGGACCAAAGAUUUAUCGCCUUUGGAUGGGCCCGCGUUGGAUUAGCUAGUUGGUAGGGUAAAAGCCUACCAAGGCGACGAUCCAUAGCUGGUCUGAGAGGAUGAUCAGCCACACUGGGACUGAGACACGGCCCAGACUCCUACGGGAGGCAGCAGUGGGGAAUAUUGGACAAUGGGCGAAAGCCUGAUCCAGCAAUGCCGCGUGAGUGAUGAAGGCCUUAGGGUUGUAAAGCUCUUUUACCCGGGAUGAUAAUGACAGUACCGGGAGAAUAAGCUCCGGCUAACUCCGUG
Molecule: ribosomal RNA, 433 nt
Filed under: uncultured bacterium
Lineage: Bacteria
Description: partial 16S ribosomal RNA
Rfam family: Bacterial small subunit ribosomal RNA
Source: RNAcentral